GACGAACGCUGGCGGCGUGCUUAACACAUGCAAGUCGAACGGAAAGGCCCUGCUUUUGUGGGGUGCUCGAGUGGCGAACGGGUGAGUAACACGUGAGUAACCUGCCCUUGACUUUGGGAUAACUUCAGGAAACUGGGGCUAAUACCGGAUAGGAUCUCCUGCUGCAUGGUGGGGGUUGGAAAGUUUCGGCGGUUGGGGAUGGACUCGCGGCUUAUCAGCUUGUUGGUGGGGUAGUGGCUUACCAAGGCUUUGACGGGUAGCCGGCCUGAGAGGGUGACCGGCCACAUUGGGACUGAGAUAGGGCGCAGACUCCUACGGGAGGCAGCAGUGGGGAAUAUUGCACAAUGAGCGGAAGCCUGAGGCAGCAACGCCGCGUGCGGGAUGACGGCCUUCGGGUUGUAAACCGCUUUCGCCUGAGACGAAGCGUGAGUGACGGUAAUGGAUAAAGAAGCACCGGCUAACUACGUG
This 468-nucleotide ribosomal RNA is filed under the name uncultured bacterium. RNAcentral's name for it is "partial 16S ribosomal RNA". It matches the Rfam family "Bacterial small subunit ribosomal RNA", at positions 28 to 507 of the family's 1533-position model. The record is from RNAcentral.